GCGGGUGUGGACGAGGCACGCGUCCGGGGCGCUGGGCGUGCACGCGGCCCAGUCGUUCGGCGACUCUCCCGCG
This 73-nucleotide transfer RNA is filed under the name Streptomyces olivaceus. RNAcentral's name for it is "tRNA-Pro". Lineage: Bacteria; Bacillati; Actinomycetota; Actinomycetes; Kitasatosporales; Streptomycetaceae. The record is from RNAcentral.